This 492-nucleotide ribosomal RNA is filed under the name uncultured bacterium. Its description in RNAcentral is "partial 16S ribosomal RNA". It matches the Rfam family "Bacterial small subunit ribosomal RNA", at positions 30 to 523 of the family's 1533-position model. The record is from RNAcentral.
AUUGAACGCUGGCGGCAGGCCUAACACAUGCAAGUCGAGCGAACCUAGCUUGCUAGGUGAGCGGCGAACGGGUGAGUAACGCGUAGGAAUCUGCCUGGUAGUGGGGGACAACGCUCCGAAAGGAACGCUAAUACCGCAUACGCCCUACGGGGGAAAGCAGGGGAACUUCGGACCUUGCGCUAUCAGAUGAGCCGGCGUCGGAUUAGCUAGUUGGUAGGGUAAAGGCCUACCAAGGCGACGAUCCGUAACUGGUCUGAGAGGAUGAUCAGUCACACCGGAACUGAGACACGGUCCGGACUCCUACGGGAGGCAGCAGUGGGGAAUAUUGGACAAUGGGGGCAACCCUGAUCCAGCCAUGCCGCGUGUGUGAAGAAGGCCUUCGGGUUGUAAAGCACUUUAGGUCGGGAGGAAGGUUCGCUGGCUAAUAUCCAGCGGAAUUGACGUUACCGACAGAAUAAGCACCGGCUAACUCCGUGCCAGCCGCCGCGGUAA